GUGCCAGCAGCCGCGGUAAUACAGAGGUCUCAAGCGUUGUUCGGAAUCACUGGGCGUAAAGGGUGCGUAGGCGGCGCAGCAAGUCAGAUGUGAAAUCCGGAGGCUCAACCUCCGAACUGCAUCCGAAACUGCUGUGCUCGAGAUCUGUAGAGGGACUUGGAAUUCUCGGUGUAGCAGUGAAAUGCGUAGAUAUCGAGAAGAACGCUCGUGGCGAAGGCGAAGUCCUGGGCAGAUUCUGACGCUGAGGCACGAAGGCCAGGGGAGCAAACGGGAUUAGAUACCCCCGUAGUCC
Molecule: ribosomal RNA, 292 nt
Filed under: uncultured bacterium
Lineage: Bacteria
Description: partial 16S ribosomal RNA
Rfam family: Bacterial small subunit ribosomal RNA
Source: RNAcentral